UACAGAGACUGCAAGCGUUAUUCGGAUUCACUGGGCGUAAAGGGUGCGCAGGCGGCCGUGUGUGUCAGGUGUGAAAGCCCGGAGCUUAACUCCGGAAUUGCGCCUGAAACUACAUGGCUAGAGCAUUGGAGAGGGUAGUGGAAUUCACGGUGUAGCAGUGAAAUGCGUAGAUAUCGUGAGGAACACCAGAGGCGAAGGCGGCUACCUGGACAAUUGCUGACGCUCAGGCACGAAAGCGUGGGGAGCAAAAGGG
This 253-nucleotide ribosomal RNA is filed under the name uncultured bacterium. Its description in RNAcentral is "partial 16S ribosomal RNA". It matches the Rfam family "Bacterial small subunit ribosomal RNA", at positions 524 to 776 of the family's 1533-position model. The record is from RNAcentral.